RNAcentral lists this long non-coding RNA (289 nucleotides) under Manihot esculenta (cassava). RNAcentral describes it as "long non-coding RNA (MESC_LNC011514)". Lineage: Eukaryota; Viridiplantae; Streptophyta; Magnoliopsida; Malpighiales; Euphorbiaceae. The record is from RNAcentral.
GGCCUCCUGACUAUACUGACUCAAUAAUAGGGGCGGUUAGGCCUCCCUGCUCAUACUCUUUAUGCUUGACUCUUCCAUUACUCUUUUCUCGACUUUUCAUGUCAUACUGAGGGCUAAAGGGUUAUUCAACAUUCAUCCGCAUACUCAUCCAGUUAUGCAAUGCAGCAUCUUCAUGGUUCUAAUGCAACAACCUAUUAUCUCAUGGCAUUCAUGAUGCAUGUCUCAUGUUCGUCACAUUAUUAUCUUUUAGUAUUAACCAUCCUAGCAUUAACAUGGCAAUUAUGAUGCA